This 253-nucleotide ribosomal RNA is filed under the name uncultured bacterium. RNAcentral describes it as "partial 16S ribosomal RNA". It matches the Rfam family "Bacterial small subunit ribosomal RNA", at positions 524 to 776 of the family's 1533-position model. The record is from RNAcentral.
UACGAAGGGGGCUAGCGUUGUUCGGAAUUACUGGGCGUAAAGCGCGCGUAGGCGGACAUUUAAGUCAGGGGUGAAAUGCCGGGGCUCAACCUCGGGACUGCCUUUGAUACUGGGUGUCUGGAGUUCGGGAGAGGUGAGUGGAAUUCCGAGUGUAGAGGUGAAAUUCGUAGAUAUUCGGAGGAACACCAGAAGCGAAGGCGGCUCACUGGCCCGAUACUGACGCUGAGGCGCGAAAGCGUGGGGAGCAAACAGG